This 796-nucleotide ribosomal RNA is filed under the name uncultured marine archaeon. RNAcentral's name for it is "partial 16S ribosomal RNA". It matches the Rfam family "Archaeal small subunit ribosomal RNA", at positions 73 to 871 of the family's 1478-position model. The record is from RNAcentral.
AAUACAAGGCAAACGGUUCAUUACCGCGAAUCCCUUUAACCAAUGGACGGAAAUACCCUCGGGAAACUGAGUACCAUGCCCAAAAAAACUUUAUGCCGGGAAUGGUUUAUGUUCCAAAUGAUUUACCGCCGAAGGAGGGGACGGCGGCCUAUCAUUUUGUUGGGGAGGUAAGGCCCCACCAAAAUUAUUACAGGUACGGGUUCUAAAAGAAGUACCCCGAAAAUGGUUACUGAAACACGAACCCCGCCCCUAGGGGGCGCAGCAGGAAAAAAAAUUUUGCAUGGUGCAAAAGCACAACAAGGUUAAUCCGAUUGUUUUCUGCUAAAGGAACUUUUUGUCGGUCCAAAAAACACUGAUAAAAAAGGGGGGGGCAAUUUCUGGUGCCACCCCCCGCGAAAAAACCACCCCCUCAGGUGGUCAGAAUAAUUAUGGGGCCAAAACCAUCCGUAGCCGGUUUUGUUAUUUUUCGGUUAAAUCUGUACCCUCAACGUACAGGCUGCCGGAAAUACUGAAAAGCUAGGGAGGGGAAAAGGAAAACGGUACUCGGAAGGAAGGGAAAAAAUCUUUUGAUCUAUUGAUAACCACCGGUGGCGAAGGCGGCCUACAAAAACCCGUCCAACGGGGAGGAAUAAAAGCUGGGGAACCAAACCGAAUUAAAUACCCGGUUACCCCCAGCUGUAAACUAUGCAAACUCAUUGAUGCAUUGGUUUGUGACCAAUGCAUUGCUGCAGGAAACCCAUUAAUUUUGCCGCCUGGGAAGUACGUACGCAAGUAUAAAACUCAAAGGAAUUGACGG